RNAcentral lists this ribosomal RNA (504 nucleotides) under uncultured Glomus. Its description in RNAcentral is "SSU rRNA". It matches the Rfam family "Eukaryotic small subunit ribosomal RNA", at positions 569 to 1077 of the family's 1831-position model. The record is from RNAcentral. Lineage: Eukaryota; Fungi; Glomeromycota; Glomeromycetes; Glomerales; Glomeraceae.
AGCAGCCGCGGUAAUUCCAGCUCCAAUAGCGUAUAUUAAAGUUGUUGCAGUUAAAAAGCUCGUAGUUGAAUUUCGGGGUCAGUAGGUUGGUCGUGCCACUGGUAUGCACUGGUCUCACUGAUUCCUCCUUCCUGAUGAACUGUAAUGCCAUUAAUUUGGUGUUGCGGGGAAUCUGGACUGUUACUUUGAAAAAAUUAGAGUGUUUAAAGCAGGCUAACGCUUGAAUACAUUAGCAUGGAAUAAUGAAAUAGGACGAUCGAUCCUAUUUUGUUGGUUUCUAGGAUUGACGUAAUGAUUAAUAGGGAUAGUUGGGGGCAUUAGUAUUCAAUUGUCAGAGGUGAAAUUCUUGGAUUUAUUGAAGACUAACUACUGCGAAAGCAUUUGCCAAGGAUGUUUUCAUUAAUCAAGAACGAAAGUUAGGGGAUCGAAGACGAUCAGAUACCGUCGUAGUCCUAACCAUAAACUAUGCCGACUAGGGAUCGGAUGAUGUUAAUUUUUUAAUGA